AUUGAACGCUGGCGGCAGGCCUAACACAUGCAAGUCGAACGGUAACAGGAAGAAGCUUGCUUCUUUGCUGACGAGUGGCGGACGGGUGAGUAAUGUCUGGGAAACUGCCUGAUGGAGGGGGAUAACUACUGGAAACGGUAGCUAAUACCGCACAACGUCGCAAGACCAAAGAGGGGGACCUUCGGGCCUCUUGCCAUCGGAUGCGCCCAGAUGGGAUUAGCUAGUAGGUGGGGUAACGGCUCACCUAGGCGACGAUCCCUAGCUGGUCUGAGAGGAGGACCAGCCACACUGGAACUGAGACACGGUCCAGACUCCUACGGGAGGCAGCAGGGGGGAAUAUUGCACAAUGGGCGCAAGCCUGAUGCAGCCAUGCCGCGUGUAUGAAGAAGGCCUUCGGGUUGUAAAGUACUUUCAGCGGGGAGGAAGGGAGUAAAGUUAAUACCUUUGCUCAUUGACGUUACCCGCAGAAGAAGCACCGGCUAACUCCGUGCCAGCAGCCGCCGUAA
Molecule: ribosomal RNA, 506 nt
Filed under: uncultured bacterium
Lineage: Bacteria
Description: partial 16S ribosomal RNA
Rfam family: Bacterial small subunit ribosomal RNA
Source: RNAcentral